ACAGUCGCAGUCUUGUGAUCCCGUAGGAUACACAUAUCAGUCUAACGCCCCGAGGGACGUACAUAUCAGUCUAACGCCCCGAGGGACGUACAUAUCAGUCUAGUGUUCUGCAGAAACACAUAUCAGUCAAAUGCUCCCGAAGGUGCACAAUAAAUUGGUGAUCCCGUGGGACACCUACAAGGUAAACAUCCCAAUACAAUCUAACAAUUUAUCCCCUCAUUCCAUUCAACCCAUCUUUCAGUUACUUCAAGUCACAAAGUUCUUUCUUUCAACAUCCUAACAGUCAACUUAUUUUACUACAGUCAUAUGUCUGUCAAUAAUAUGCUAAUACAUCAGUCAAUCCACUAUACAGUCAAUGCACCCCUCAGUUCACCAGCACACAGUCAUACUUUAGCGUAAUCAUACACCCAAUCUAAACGAGAAUCUCAUACAAACACAAUCUACAAUCUCCGUCCUGUCCACAUACACACAUUUAUAUAUAGAUUCCAUGACAAUCACGACAUACAUUCGACGUCAAGUCUACUUCAAUUCAUAUACAUUCAUAUAUAUUUUCAGUCAACCCCAGUAUACAUUCAACACACAUACAGCUCACAAUCACAGUUCACAAUCACAAUUGAGUCCAGUAGAAAAUCCCUUACCUGGAUCUUUAUGUAAAAUUCCUUAGUCGAACUAACUUCAACAAACAAACCCCAAGAGUAAAGAAUCGAACUCCAACAAAGCUUAAGGCGUAACUCAAGGACACUAACUCCAAAUCACCGAUGUCGCCUUCAAGAACAAAGAUCAAUUCAACCAAUUAAACAACAUCACAUCUUAAUGUAUUUACAAAUGUAAGACCUUAUUACCGAACAAUCUCAUCCUUACCAAUAUCUUGUAACAAGACUUUGACAAUCGACGUUAAAUAGAAGUUGCCGCAGGAUCUACACAAAAGACAUUGUGCAAAACACUUUUGCACGCGAACUGGUCCGCGAUUCGUAAAUGGGACAGCGGGUAUCGACGAAGGCAGAACGGUUCGGACGUUCAACAGCAGUUACGUGCGGACGGGAGUAGCCCGGCAACGUAGCCGAAUUCGUGCGAUGCGGCGUGACCUGCGUCGGCGAGGCUGUUCGUGACUGAGGCGUGCGACUUGCCUCGCGGACGGAGAUAGAGACAGCGGAGACGAUUGCAGAACCGUGGCUUCGACAGAGACAGAACCGGCUGAGACGGCUGGGCAGCGGCGGAAGAGCAAUGGCGCCGCAGAUAUGGACUGGCAGCGGCGCGGUCUUGCUUCGCGGCGGGGCUGCGGACGGAAGAAGAAAAUGGAAGGAAAGGACCGGCGGCUGGCUGCGGCUGGCUGCGGUUGGCUGCGGCGGGACGGGAAGAAGAAGAUAGAGGUGGUGGUUGCGGCGGAAAGAAAAACGGAAGGAAAGGGAGGCGACGGUUUGCGAACGGAAGAGAAGGGGGAAGGGAUCGGCGCGCACGCAGCAGAAGAAGAAGGGAGAAAAGAAAAGAAAAAGAAAAAGAAGAAAAGAAAAAUAAUAAAGAAAUUUUUUAAUAUUAAAAUAAUAUAUAUAAAAAUAAAUAAAUAAAUAAAUAAAUAAAUAUAUAUAUAUAUAUAUACCUUUUGUUUGGGCAUUACAGGUUCGGUUUCAAUGAAGAUUUUUUUUAUCAUUUUGCGGUUCGAUGCGGUUUUAGCUUCAAACCGAACCGCGAACACCACUAAUAUGUAAUGUUGAGAUCAACUGAAUAUGUUUGUAAUGUAGGGACUUUGAUGAAAGAAUUGAAGAUUCAGGAAAUUGUAUGAAAAAAAAUGGUUGAAUGUUAAAUUGACUUAUGAAUAGUGUAUAUGAAACAAUACAUUAUAUAUUUUAUGAAUGAAAUGUUAUGCAAUCAAUUUGUUAAACUGGUUUAUUUAUUUUAUUUCAAAUAUUUAUUUUAUAUGUAAUAAAUAAUAAGUUAUGUUUGAAACAGCAGUAUAAGGAUAUAUCAUUAUAUAUAUUGUUCAUUUAAGGUUAGUAAGAAUUUUAUAUUUUGUAUUUGAAAUAUACUAUGAUAUAUUGAGUACAUCAAAGAUGACAUCAUUUAUGUACUAUUGAAAAUAUGAAGUAGUAUAUAUAUAUGUAACAAAUCACAUAAGAUAUAUGUAUCAUGUACUAGUAUAUACGUCAUUAUUUAUAUAUACACACCUAAUGAAAAAAAGUAGAGUGUGUGGGACCCACGUAUAUAAAUAAUGAGAAAAUAAAAAAUGUUGACCCAAUGUAAUAUAUAUAUAAAGUAAAAAAUAAACUAUGUAGGGUCCACUGCAUGAAAAUUGUGUAGGGGUACAAAACUUCACCUCAACUCACCUAUUUUUGUCAAUAGUUUUGCAUUCACCUACUUUUGACAUAUGUUUCAAAAUUUACAUUAUUUUUUAAAAAAAGUUCUAUACAUAAUAAAUAAUAACUCGUGAUUGAAACAAGAGUGGUUAUGUAUGAAGGAUAGUAUAUUAAAUAUAAUAAAUUGAAAAACUUUGAUUGGUACCGUAGAUGAAAAUUUAUGAAAAAAUAUAGAAAUAAAAUAACUAAAUUAAAAACAGAAAUAUGAAUAUUUCAAAUAAAAGUAUAAAUCAACAUACUAAUAGUUUAAUAAUAAGAAAGAAAAAUUAGUUCGAUAAGGAAAGCUUGCAUCUCUUUCGUUUAUGACAACCACAUUUAAAACUUCAUUUUAGAAUGAAUUCUAAUAUUUUUUUUGUUGACCAACUGAACGUUUUACAUUCAAUGGGAUGAUGUCAACUUCAAUUACUGUAUUAUUGAAUAUAUGCAUUAGUAUGUAUGUAACAAAUCAAAUAAAAUACUAAUCGAAUAUAGAAAAAUAUAAAGAAAAUGAUACAAAACGUGAAGGAAAAAAACUGAACUAUAUAUGUGUCACAAAAUACGUGUUAUUAUAUUUAUAUAAAUGUAUAUAUUGAUAACAUCACCUGUCUAUGUAGUGAUAUAUAUUGAAAUUCAACUAUAAAUUAUGUAGAACUAUAUGUCACUAAAUAUUUAUGUUGUAAAUAAGGUGUAUCUAUAUAUUAAAUCACAUCAUAAACAUAUUAUAAUUUACGAGUAUAUUAUAGUAUAUAUUGUUCAUUUAAAAAAUAUAUGACAAAUAGAAGGUAUAUAAUUAUACGAAGUGAGAAUAUGUAUGUAUGAUAUUCUCACUGCAUAUUAUAUAUACACUAAGAAUGUGUAUUUUACUGUUUUAGUAGUAUUUACUAUAUAAAUAUAUAUUUUAAAUAUUAAUUAUUAAUGAAUAUAUAUAUUACUACAUGUGGUUACAACAUACUUAAGAUAUAAAUGUUUAUAUGUAAAGUCCCAAAGGUAAAAAUAUAUAUAUAUAUACAUUUUUUUUUCUUUUCUUUUCUUUUUCUUUUCUUUUCUCUCUUCUCCUUCCUCCCCGUGCGUUCUCCUUCCCGUUCGCAGCAACCGCCGCCCCAUCUAUUCUCCUUCCGUUCGUGCGCAACCGCGGCCCAACCGCCCCAUCCGUUCGCACAGCAACCGCCGUCGGCCAUCUCCAUCUUCUCUUCUCCUCUCCGUUCCGUCCAAACCCAGAUCCGUCGCUGCAACCGUCAGCCGGUUCGUGAAGUGCCGUACGCGUCACCUUGCAGCAGUCGUCCAGAUCUGCAUCGCCGUGCCUGUUCCUUUCUCCUCCGUUUUCUUCCCGCCGCGGAUCCAAGUCGAUCUCUUCCUAAAUUACGUGUCCCCUAUCAAGUCGACGUUCUUCUGCUCGUUGUAAGACGGAGUUACGAUUUGAAGCCGAUUUUCUUUUCCAGUUGAGUCGCAUUCAGUGUUGCUCUAUUUACAACCGCUUGAUUCGUUCUUGAUUGUCAUUUUUGCCUCGCCGUGAACCAUUGGGCUCAUAUUUGGGUAAGAACAAGUUAUGGUUUUUUUGUGGUUUCUUGGUUUUUGUUGAAUGCUGCCAUUGGAUUUAAUUGUUGGCGAAAUGCUUAAUUCUUGAAUGUACAUCUUGAUUCAGUGAGCGAAUCCUUGAUUUUCCAAAAGGUUGAAGUGGACUUGAUUUUCCACUUCUUGGGUAAGUUGUGGAAUUUACGUAUGGGAUAAUUUGAAUGGUUGAAACUAUUUAGAAAGAUGUUGAUUUUAUGAUUGAUUAUGUUUAGGAUUUGAUUCAUUGGAUUUAGUAGAUUGAAGAAGCUUCCCCAACUUUGAGGUAAGGGAUUUUCUACUGGACUCAAUUGUGAUUGUGAACUGUGAUUGUGAACUGCAUGUGUGUUGAAUGUAUACUGUGGGCUGACUGAAAAUAUAUAUGAAUGUAUAUGAAUUGAAGUAGACUUGACGUCGAAUGUAUAUCGUGAUUGUCAUGGAAUCUAUAUAUAAAUGUGUGUAUGUGGACAGGACGGAGAUUGUAGAUUGUGUUUGUAUGAGAUGCAGAUGUGAAUCUUGUGAUUUUCGUUUAGAUUGGGUGUAUGAUUAUGCUAAAGUAUGACUGUGUGCUGGUGAACUGAGGGGUGCAUUGACUGUAUAGUGGAUUGACUGAUGUAUUAGCAUAUUAUUGACAGACAUAUGACUGUAGUAAAAUAAGUUGACUGUUAGGAUGUUGAAAGAAAGAACUUUGUGACUUGAAGUAACUGAAAGAUGGGUUGAAGGGAAUGAGGGGAAAAUUGUUAGAUUGUAUUGGGAUGUUUACCUUGUUGGUGUCCCACGGGAUCACCAAUUUAUUGGGCACCUUCGGGAGCAUUAGACUGAUAUGUGUUUCUGUAGAACACUAGACUGAUAUGUACGUCCCUCGGGGCGUUAGACUGAGAUGUGUAUCCUACGGGAUCACAAGACUGCGACUGUACAGGGUGUCCCAAUAGAACUUUAACAAUUUAUUUUCCCCUGACGGGACCAGUAGAGGGUCUCUUACUGAGUAUUUAAAAUACUCACCCUUCUUAUGUUUAAUUUUCAGGCAAAGGUAAUAAAGGCGGCAAACAGGCGAGGGGCAGGAAGGAAGCGUGAUGCCAUAGGAAACGUGUUUUUGCUUCCGCUUAUGGGUUCUUGUGAGGUUUAAAAUGAAUUGAAAUUUAGUUUACAAACGUUGGUUGUAAAUAGUAUUAUUUUAUGUUUUCUUGAAUGUUUAAAAAUCAGGCCUGACUUGAAGAUGUUUUGUUUUUAAAUUGCUUACGUUUUAUUUUAUAUUAAUCAAAGUCUUUAUUUGUUAAAAAUUAACGAUCUCGACGUACUUAGAAAAGUUGGGUCGUUACAUUAUAUGACUAACAACAUAAUAUUACUAUAAGAUAAACAAAAAAAUAAAGAACAGAUUGAAUUGAAAAAUAUUUUCGAUUAUUGUAUGUCACUAUAUAUGUCUGAUUGUAUAUAUCUCUAAGCAAUAUUACAUAAUGAGGUAGUAUAUAUGUAACAAAUCACAUAAUAUAUAUGUAUUAUGGAGUAGUAUAAAUGUAAUUGUUGAGCAAGAAAUUUCAACCAAUGAAAUUACACCACGUCGUCGCACCCAAGUUGUGAUGAUUAUAAUUUGAUUGGAUUUGGGUAGUCAAGUUUUCCAACCCAAUUCAAGCCCCUGAUAAAAAAUCAGGCCAAACAAAGGGGCCUAAGCCCACUAAGAAAAUGGGCCCAAGCCCAAGUCCAAGCUCAACAACUCAACAAGCAAAUGGGUCCAAGCCCACAUAAAGUCCACAAAUUUUCUCUAUAAGUAGAGACCUUUGUCAUUCAUUCGAGAGAUCUUUUGUUGAAGGAAGAAAUGAAGCUCUGAAGUACUGAAGCUUUGAAGAAUUGAAGAUUCAAACUUCUAUAGAGCUCUCAAGACGUGCAAGUUCUUAUCAACUUCGAGAUCAUCAUCUUCUGAAAUAUUGAAGACUUCGAAGAUCAAAAUUUCCUUGAAUUCCAGAAGACUGAAGCUCAAAUAGACCGAACCAUUUAAAUUCAGUUUGGACUAUUUGAGACAGCAACAAACUGUGUUUUUUGUUUUGUACAUAAAUGGUGUGGUUUGAUUCGGUUUUAACAAGCGGUUCAAUUUAUACCGUUUAGACUUGAACUUAUAUAAUGUGAAAUUAUUUUUUUUUCUUUGAAUUUUUAUCUAAGUGUACUCAAAUUGUAUACCAUGUUACAAAAUUGCAAAAUUUUUUUUAAAAUUUUCAAAAAUAUCAUAAAUUGACUAAUAUUUUAUACAAAUAUAGAGUAAAAAUGAUCAAUUUACUCUUUUUAUUAUUAAUAAUAUAUUAAAAAUAAAAAAAAAAGUGAACCACGUUUAAGAUUUUCAUUUAUUAAAUAUUCUAUUAAAAUAUGGAUUAAAUUCUAUUAAAGUAAUAUUAAUAAUAAAAAUUGUCCUUAGUUUGCUUUUUAUGAUUUUAUUAAAAAAUUGUCCUUUUUUAUUUUGCAUUCUUUUUCAUAUAUUUUAUAUAAUUAUAGUAUAUAUUGAAUAAUAUAAUGUAUAUUUUAUUAGUGAAAUGUUCUUAUAUCAAUUUAUUUAUUUAUUUUAUUUAAAUAUUCAUAUCUUACGUAGUAAAUAAUACAUUAUGUUUGAAAUAAUAUUAAUUAUAUAUGAAAGUUGUUUAUGUUUACAAGAACAUGAAUGAGAAAUAAUUAUGAUGAGUAUAUGUAAUAUAUGUCAUUAAAAUAUUUGUUAUUCUCUAGUAUAUGUAAUAGGGGUGUUCAAAAUGAAGUUGAAAGCUGAAUCGAAUCACUAAUCGAACCGAAAUCGAAUGCAUAUGGUUCGGUUCGAUUCGAUUUCUAUUUCAAAAAAACCACAUAAAAUUCGGUUCGGUUCAGUUUAAGAUGUUAAGAACCGAUUCUCAAACCGAACUGAAUUGCUUUAUUUUAAAAACUAAAUAUAUAUAUACAUAUAUAUGUUAAUAAUAAGACUUUUUUAGACUUCAAAGCGGGUAUAGAGGCAAAAAUCAAUGAGGAACGAAAAGGAGAAGAAUGACAUAAUCAAAACGUAAAUGACAAGUUGUCUUGACGAAGUUUGUAUGACUGUAGGACUUUUAUUCAUCUUAGGUGGAUUUUAAAACUUUUAUGUGUUGUUGGACUUUCAAAUUUCAAUGUUUGAAACAUCUAUGUCUGUAAUUUUGAAAUUUCUAUGUUUAUAACUUUGUAUAAGUCGUUCGGUUUUCACUACUACAAAAUGGGUUUACUUGACGCUAGCAACUUUUACAUACUGGACGUUUUUAUUAAAAAAACGUCAAGUAUGAACUAUGUUAAAGAAAAAGCGUCAAGUAUAGUCUUAAAAAAUAUGAAGUUUUCACGAAUUUUUUUUAAUUAUUUUAUGUUAGCUUUAUUUGACGUUUUUUUUUUUUUUGCGUCAAGUAUAAAGUAGAUUUUACUUGACAUUUUAUUCGAGUUAAAAGUAGUGAACAUUUACUUGACACAAAAAACAUGUCAGGUAUGGUUUUAAAAAAGAAAAUUUUUACGUUAACUUUUAUAUGACAUGGUUUUCGCGUCAAAUAUAGUGGAGAUUUAUUUGACAGUUUAUUCGCGUCAAAUAUAGUGGAGAUUUUACUUGACGUUUUUUUCGUGUCACGUAUAGUGGACAUUUACUUGACGCGAAAACAACGUCAAAUAUAGUUAACAUUUUUUAUUUAACACUUUUAAAAUGUCAAUUGCCAAAAUGUCAAAUAUAAAACGUUUAAAAAUAUGAAAAUAAAAAGUAUAAAAAUCAACUUAUUAAAAUAAUUUUUUAAAAUCAACUUAUUAAAAUAAUUUUUUUAAAAUCAACUUAUGAAAAUAAAUCUUUUGAAAUUUUUCACUUAAAUAAUUUGAAAUCUCUCAUUAAAUUAAAUUUACUAAAAUCUCUCGUUAAAAUAAAUUUGUUGAAAAUUUUCCUUUAAAUAAAAUUAUUGAAAAUAUUUCCUUAAAUAGAUUUAUUAAGAUAUUUUAAUGAAAAACUCAUUAAAUAAAUUUAUUAAAAUAUUAUUAAAUAAAAUUUUGAAAUCUUUCACUAAAACAAACUUUUACAAAUUUUGACUAAAAUAAAUUUGUUGAAAUCUUUACUUAAAUUAAAUUUAUUAAAAUCUUUCUUUUAAAUAAACCUAUUGAAAAUAUUUUAUUUAAAUAAAUUUAUUGAAACCAUUUCUUUAAAUAAAUUUAUUAAAACAUUUUAAUGAAAAGUUUAUUAAAUAAAUUUAUUAAAAUACUUUAAUAAAAAAUUGUUAAAUAAAUUUUUUGAAAUUUAUCACUAAAAUAAUUUUUUGAAUUCAUUAAAAUAAGUUUAUUGAAUCUUUCCUUUAAACAAUUUUAUUGAAAAUAUUUCAUUAAAUAAAUUUAUUAAAAUAUUUUAUACAAAAUUUAUAAAUAAAUUUAUAUAUUUUAAUGAAAUCUUUCAUUAAGUAAAUUUAUCAAAGUAUUUUGAUGAAAUGCUUAUUUAAUAAAUAUUAAAAUAUUUUAAUGAAAACAUUAUUAAAUGUAUUUGUUAAAAACUUUAACGAAAAUAUUAUGAAAUAAAUUUAUUAAAAAAAUUAAUAAAAGAUAAUUAAAUAAAUUUAUUGAAAUCUUUCAUUAAAAUAUUUUACCAAAACAGAUUUGCUGAACUGUUUCACUAAAUAAAUUUAUUUAAAUAUUUUCAUCAAAGAAAUUCAUUAAAAUAUUUUAUUGAAAUGAUUAUUAAUGAAAUUUAUUGAAACAUUUUAAUAAAUUUUAAAUGGAUCAACUUUUUCCAUUGUUUAGUUUUUAGUUUGCAGUGUAGAUUAAUAAUAGAUCCAAUUUAUUGGUAUAUCUCCAUAAUUAUUUACUUUUACACAUCAUUUAUCACUACUCACAUAAAAAAAAUUACAAAUUUUGUGACAUGAUUAGACAAUUUGAUAGACAAAAAUAGGUGAUAUACAGGAGAUGCAUAUCUAAAUAUUGUGUUGGUAAGUGAUAUAAUAUUAAGUUCUCGCACAUCAACUUGAUUUUAUGAAGUUUUGUUUAAUAAAAAAAUCAUUUUAUUAAAGUGAGCAUAUAUAACUCAAUUCAGUUAUUUACCAAAAAAAUUAAAAUCAAAAUAAUUUAGGGUUUCUUUUUUCUUUUUUUGUUUCUUUUUAUGGAAAGAUUGAAGAUCUUGGAAACCUAAAACAUAAUUUAAGAAAAUUGUUUAAUGAUAGCGAAAAUUAAGAAUAAAUUAAUAAAAACAAAUAAAUUGAAACAAAAACUCACAAACCGCUCUAUUUAAUUUUUUUAAAAUGAUAUAAUUAAAAAAAAUAUUAUCAAAAACUAAGAAAUAAAGAAAAAUAAUAAUAAUAACAAAUUGAAAACAAGGUACAAAUCUAUUGUUUUCUAAUUUUCACCCUUUCAACUUAUUUUCUAUUAUCAAUUCCUAAUUUCUCCUAUAAAAACCUUCUUUCCUAAUUCAAAAAAUAUUCAUAAUCUCAAAUCUUUAUAUUCUCAUGAUCAAUCCAUGGAUCUUCCUCAAAAGUUAACAAAAACUCAUGUAAUUUUCUUUCCUUUUUAAUGUUUCUUUCAUUUUUUUCUAUAGAAAUUUUCAUGUUGAUUAUUAAAAAUGAUUAGUGGGCUUUUUUUUCAACUUUCUCAAUAACACUUCUUUCCUUUUAUAUAUUGUUAAAAAAGGUAUCCAAUGGAAAUAUGAAAAAUUUAUUGCUUUUCAAGUUUUAACCUUAAAACAAUAUAUAUGGAAAAGAUUUAUAUUUAUAUAUUGUUAAAAAAGCUUGUUUUAUUUUAUAUUUAUAUAUGAAAAAGUAAUUUUUUGAAAAGUUUAUCAAAUAUAUUUAUUGAAAUAUUUUAAUUAAAUUUAUUAAAUUCAUUUAAUUAAAAAUAUCAAGUAAAUAUAUUAAAAUCUUUUAUUUCCCUAUUUUUAGUAAUCCCUCACGUCUCCACGAUGAAACCCUAUUCUCAUCUCCACGCUUCCACACAACACAGGCGAACGGCCACUUCUUCGAAUCGACGGACGACUUCCACACAACACAGAGUGGCAAACGGCGAAUGGCUUCCACACGACGAACGCUUCCACCCGGCGAACAGCUUCCACCCGGAAAACAGCUUCAACCCGUUGCGAACAGCUUCAACCCGACAAACAGCUUCAACCCGUUGCGAACAGCUUCAACCCGACGAACGGCUUCCACGCAGCGAACAACUUCCACAGUGAACGGCUUCCACGACUGCGAACAUCUUCCGCACGGCGAACUGCUUCCGCGUUCAAAGGUUUUUAUGCUCCUCAUUCUUAUUGUAUUUAACAUUUUUCAAUGAAUAAUGCUUCCUUGAAUUUGAUUUAUAUCUUGUAAUUAAGGAUGAUAUUGUAAACCCAAAGUGAGAAACACACAAAGAGAAGAAAAUUGAGAAUGACUCUUGUAUAUUUAUAUUUAUUUGUGUUAUAUGUUUAUGUUGUUUAUGUUCAAAUUCGUAAACAAAUGGUAUAAUCUAAUUGACAAAUAGAGAAGACCAUCAUUUUUCUUUAUUGUUGUUUUUUUACAGGAAUGAGUAAUGAAAAAUUAAGGGUGACUCUUGGAUGUUUUAGACCGUAAUUAAUUUGUUGUCGUUAUGGUUAUAAUUAUCAUAUUGAUUUGUUUAUAGUAAUGAGUAAUGAAUUGGUAUAUUUACUCUUGGUAAGAUUCAUACUUUUGAAUGCCAUUUUUUUUUUAUAGUAAUGAGUAAUGAAUUGAUCUUGUGUGCAUCAUCAUAUCCCAAUUACACAUGCAUCUUGGAAGCUGGUGCCGACUGAGUUGAAAGAAAAAGUAUACAAUAUGAUUGAGGUAUGUAAUCAUCCUUCUCAUUUGGAAAUCAUGCAAAUACUACACAUUUAUUGUAUAUUUUGAGUCAUACUAUCUUGUGGUUAUUCUGUAGCCUUAGUAGCCCCAUAGCUUGUAUAUUUUGAGUCAUACUAUCUUGUGGUUAUCCUGUAGCCUUGGUAGCCCCAUAGCCUUGGUCUUGUGGCUAUCCUGUAGCCUUGGUAGCCCCGUAGUCUUGGUAGCCAAUCAUGUAUAUAUUACACAAUUAUUGUAUAUUUUAAGUUGUAUUAUGUGUGGCUAUCCUGCUAUGGUAGCCAAUCAUGCAUAUAUUGGUAAAUGUAAAUAUAUUUAUAAAAUAAUUUUUAUUUUAAUCUAGCACAUAAUAUAAUAUAUAUGCAUUGUUAAUUGGUUGUGUUAUAGUGUUCUUUACAAGUAGGUACGGUUGAAUGUGGAUAUUAUGACAUGAGAUACAUGCAAGAAAUUGUGACUAAGGACACAAACAUUAUCACUGGUGCGGUAUGUUUUUAAACUAUUUACAUUGUAAAGUUAUAGAUAGUAUAUUAUGACUAACUCAAAUAUUUUACAAAGUGUAUUCUACUUUUUAUGUUUUAUAGAUUGAUACAAGAAGCCCAUACACACAGCUUGAAUUGGAUAGACGAGGGGAGUGGGCUGGAUUUUUAGCUCGGUACAUAUGAUAGACACACCUAGAUAUGAUCAUGUUAAUUUUGUAAAUGGCUAAGAUAUGGGAAUGCUCAUAACCUUUUUUGUGGAAACGUUUUGUUCAUAGCCAUUAUGAGGGCAAAAGAUAUAUGGGGAUAGGCUUCAAUUUUGAUUAUAUAAGACAACUAUUAUCAUUUAAUAUUUUGGAAUAGGACACAUAUAGGAAAUUUUAGUUGGCUAUAUUGGAUUGGAAUUGUGUAAUUGUUGAUGACAUUGUUGAGAAUAAUGAAACUAUUGUUGGUUUACAUAUUAUACUAAACUUUUUGUCCUUUUUUUUGUUGUGUAAUUGUUCGUUGGAGAAUUUGUUUUGUUUACGGAUAUGUCUUAUUGAAGUAAAUGUAUGUAAUGCAGGAAAUAAAAAAUGAAAAAAGAAAAAUUUAGUAUAUUUAAUGUAUUAAUAAAUGGUAUAAAUGACAUUAAAUACAUGUCACAUAUACUAUCUUAUUUGAGUCAAAUAUACCAUUUUACUUGAUGGAUAUAUAGUGUCAACUAUAAAAUUUUACUUGACAUAUACAUAAUGUCAAAUAUACUAUCUCACUUGACAGGUAAAUAGAGUCAAAUAUAUAUCUUACUCGACUUGUAAAUAUUGUCAAGUAUACUAUCUCACUUGACAGGUAAAUAGAGUCAAGUAUAUAAUUUACUCGACGUGUAAAUAUUGUCAAGUAUACUAUCUUACUUGACACAAAAAUGAUGUCAAGCAAUAGAGUACUUGACGUUUUUUUAGUGUCAAGUAAUAGAACUAUACUUGACAGUCGAUUACUUGACGCUUUUUAAAACGUCAAGUAUAGAUUUACAUGACACUUUAUUAAUGCCAAGUAAUUCAAUUUUUGUAGUAGUGUUUGAUUUGAUUUUAUUUAUGUAUAUGUGGUUCGGUUUUCAUUCGGUUUGGCAUAGAUGAGCGGUUCGGUUCGGUUUCAAUGAAGAUUUUUUUUAUCAUUUUGCGGUUCGAUGCGGUUUUAGCUUCAAACCGAAUCGCGAACACCACUAAUAUGUAAUGUUGAGAUCAACUGAAUAUGUUUGUAAUGUAGGGACUUUGAUGAAAGAAUUGAAGAUUCAGGAAAUUGUAUGAAAAAAAAUGGUUGAAUGUUAAAUUGACUUAUGAAUAGUGUAUAUGAAACAAUACAUUAUAUAUUUUAUAAAUGAAAUGUUAUGCAAUCAAUUUGUUAAACUGGUUUAUUUAUUUUAUUUCAAAUAUUUAUUUUAUAUGUAAUAAAUAAUAAGUUAUGUUUGAAACAACAGUAUAAGAAUAUAUCAUAAUAUAUAUUGUUCAUUUAAGGUUAGUAAGAAUUUUAUAUUUUGUAUUUGAAAUAUACUAUGAUAUAUUGAGUACAUCAAAGAUGACAUCAUUUAUGUACUAUUGAAAAUAUGAAGUAGUAUAUAUAUGUAACAAAUCACAUAAGAUAUAUGUAUCAUGUACUAGUAUAUAUGUCAUUAUUUAUAUAUACACACCUAAUGAAAAAAAGUAGAGUGUGUGGGACCCACGUAUAUAAAUAAUGAGAAAAUAAAAAAUGUUGGCCCAAUGUAAUAUAUAUAUAAAGUAAAAAAUAAACUAUGUAGGGUCCACUCCAUGAAAAUUGUGUAGGGGUACAAAACUUCACCCCAACUCACCUAUUUUUGUCAAUAGUUUUGCAUUCACCUACUUUUGACAUAUGUUUCAAAAUUUACAUUAUUUUUUAAAAAAAAUUCUAUACAUAAUAAAUAAUAACUCGUGAUUGAAACAAGAGUGGUUAUGUAUGAAGGAUAGUAUAUUAAAUAUAAUAAAUUGAAAAACUUUGAUUGGUACCGUAGAUGAAAAUUUAUGAAAAAAAUAUAGAAAUAAAAUAACUAAAUUAAAAACUGAAAUAUGAAUAUUUCAAAUAAAAGUAGAAAUCAACACACUAAAAGUUUAAUAAUAAGAAAGAAAAAUUAGUUCAAUAAGGAAAGCUUGCAUCUCUUUCGUUUAUGACAACCACAUUUAAAACUUCAUUUUAGAAUGAAUUCUAAUAUUUUUUUGUUGACCAACUGAACGUUUUACAUUCAAUGGGAUUGUAACGACCCAACUUUUAUAGGUAAGUCGAGGUCAUUAAUUUUUAACAAAAGACUUUGGUUGAUACAAAAUGAAACGUAAGUCAAUUUAAAAACAAUUUAUGUCAGGCCUGAUUUUCAAAUAUUCAAGAAAACUUAAAAAUAACACUAUUUACAAAUAAAAGUUUGUAAACUAAGUUUUUAGUACAUCUUAAACUUCAAAAGAAACCAUAUGCGGAAGCAAAAUGACACAUUUCCUAUGGCAAUCACGCUUCCUUCCUGCCCCUCGCCGGCUUGCCACCUUUAUUUCCUUUGCUUGAAAAUUAAACAUAAGAAGGGUGAGUAUAACAAUACUCAGUAAGAGACCCUCUACUGGUCUCGUCAGGGGAAAAUAAAUUGUUAAAGUUCUAUUGGGACACCCUGUACAGUCGCAGUCUUGUGAUCCCGUAGGAUACACAUCUCAGUCUAACGCCCCGAGGGACGUACAUAUCAGUCUAACGCCCCGAGGGACGUACAUAUCAGUCUAGUGUUCUGCAGAAACACAUAUCAGUCAAAUGCUCCCGAAGGUGCAAAAUAAAUUGGUGAUCCCGUGGGACACCUACAAGGUAAACAUCCCAAUACAAUCUAACAAUUUAUCCCCUCAUUCCAUUCAAUCCAUCUUUCAGUUACUUCAAAACAUAGAGUUCUUUCUCUCAACUUAUCUCACUUUAGUCAUAUGUCUGUGAAUAAUAUACUAAUACGUCAGUCAAUCAAACUAUACAGUCAAUACACCCCUCAGAUCACCAGCACACAGUCAUACUUUAGCGUAACGUACACCCAAUCUAAACGACAAUCACAAGAUCGCAUCUGCAUCUCAUACAAGCACAAUCUACAAUUUUCGUCCUGUCCACAUCCACACACACAUAUAUAUAUUCCAUGACAAUCACAAUAUGCAUUCAACAUUAAGUCUACUUCAAUUCAUAUGCAUAUAUAUAUUUUCAGUCAAUCCACAAUAUACAUUCAACACCGAAUCUACAUCCAUACGUGUAUAUAUAUAUAUCAUCUCAUCAUCUUUACUCAGUCAGAGAUAAUCAUACAGAUAUACAAUUCACAAUCAUAAGUGAGUCCAGUAGAAAAUCCCUUACCUCAAAGUUAGGGAAGCUCCUUAAUCACUAACGUCCUCGAAACAAUCCUAAGCAUAACAACACAAAAUUCAAUUACUUUCACGAUACAUAUCCCACUUAUUUUCCUCAACGUAAGUUUCAACUCACUGAUAUAAUGGCGAACUGAACCUUCAACAAUUCACAAUCUGGUUGUGAAUGUAAGGGAGCCUAAUGUUACUCCCAACACCUCAACGCACGACUGUCGAACUCGCGGCAAAAUCCUAAGUGUGUGGUCGGUCAGCGGUCGGCCAAAUGAGACGUGGCGGCUGGGCUUCACGGAUGGAGACCGUCACGAACAGACCGCGAAUCUGAAUGGUUACAGCAAUUCUGAACGGUUACAGCAAAUCUGAACGGUUACAGCAACUAGUCGGCCGACGUCGAUAGCAGGUGGAGCGGCAGUUGUGAGCGGGGAGCGUGGCGGUUACUGGUUCACGCGGCGGCCUUGGCUUCGACGGAGACAGAACCGGCUGAGACGGCUGGGCAGCGGCGGAAGAGCAACGGCUGCAACGGCGGAAGGUCUUGCGGUACAGAUCUGGACGGCGGUCGCAAGGUGACGCGUACGGCGGCCGCAAGGUGACGCGUACGACUGCCUCGCGAACUGGCCGAUGGUUGCAGCGACGUCCGGCUGGGUUUGGACGGAACGAAGAGGAGAAGAGAAAUGGAGACGGCCGGCGGCGGUUGCUGCGAACGGAAGGAGAAGAGAGGGACAGUCGGCGACGCACGGGAGGAAGAAGAAAAAGAAAAAAAAGUUUUCUUUUUCUUUUCUUUUAUUUAAAUAAAAAUGUAAAAUAAAUAUAUUAAUAAAAUAUAAUUAAAUACAUAUAUAUAUUUAAUUAUAUUAAUACAUUUCACAUCUUCUUUCUCUCAAAAUAAUUUACCUUCAAGUUUGGGGCGUUACAUUCUUCCCUCCUUAAGAAACUUUCGUCCUCGAAAGUUUUAAUCCUGAAAUAACUCUGCUCAUCUCUUCUUCUCGCUCCCAUGUCGCCUCUUCAAUUCGAUGAUUCUGCCACAAAACCUUUACUAAUGGAAUGCUUCUAUUACGAAGCAUCUUUACCUCUCUAGCCAGAAUCUCCACAGGUUGUUCUACAUAGCUCAAAUGCUCAUCAAUCUCCAAGGGUUCAUAGUCCACUACAUGAGAUGUAUCGGCCACAUACUUCCUCAACAUCGAAACAUGGAAAACAUUAUGAACUGCAGAGAGAGAUGGUGGUAAUGCCAAGCGAUACGCCACAACACCAACCCUCUCUAAGAUCUCAAAUGGUCCAACAAAACGAGGACUUAACUUUCCUUUCUUCUCAAAACGCAUAACACCCUUCAUUGGUGCUACCUUCAAGAAUACCUUUUCUCCCACAUCGAACUUAAGGUCUUUUCACCGUACAUCCGCAUAACUCUUCUGUCUACUCUGCGCUGUUUGCAUACGUGCUCUAAUCUUUUGAAUAGCCUCAUUAGUAGACCGAACUAAUUCAGGUCCCAUCAACCUAUGUUCACCAACCUCAUCCCAACAAACAGGGGUUCUACAACAUUUGCCAUACAAAGCCUCAAAUGGUGUCAUACCGAUGGUAGCCUGGAAACUGUUGUUAUAAGAAAACUCCAUCAAAUGUAGAUGAGAGUCCCAACUACCUGGAAACUCUAUAACACAAGCUCGUAGCAUAUCCUCUAAAACUUGGUUCAAACGUUCAGUUUGACCAUCAGUCUGUGGAUGAAAGGCUGUACUAAAAUCCAAUCUCGUACCCAUAGCAGUCUGAAGUCCCUUCCAAAACUUGGAAGUAAACCGUGCAUCCCUAUCAGAAACAAUCGAUACAGGCACUCCAUGCAGUCUCACAAUCUCAGUUAAAUACAACUCUGCCCACUUACUAGCAGUAUAAGUGGAUUUCCCUGGUACAAAAUGUGCCGAUUACGUAAGCCUAUCGACAAUAACCCAAAUCACUGUGUAACCCUUCAGGGUUUUAGGCAAUUAUAUAAUAAAAUCCAUAGAUACAUUCUCCCACUUCCACUCUAAUAUACUCAAAGGUUGCAACAAACCUGUUGUUUUCUAUCUUGGUGCUUUAACCUACUAGCACACCAAGCACUUACUAACAAGAUUUUCCAUUUCUCUCUUCAUAUUACGCUAGUAACAAACUCUUUUCAAAUCCGGAUACAUUUUUGUGCUACUUGGAUGCAUGAGAAAUGGGAAACUAUGAGUCUCAACCAAUAACCUUGUCUUAAUUGCAUUUUCUGUUGGCUCACAUAAUUCUCUCUCAAACAUAAGUUCAUCAUCAAAGGAUAUGGAAAACUCCUUAACUUGCCCUACUUCUACUAGGUGAUGCUUCUCAAUCAAAUAAGGAUCAAUGAAUUGAACCACAAGAAUUCUUUGUCUCAAGGUCGGAUGUACUGACAACUGAGCUAACUUUGAGGUGACUUCCCCCACUGAAACUACAAUCUCAGCUCUCUCGUGGUUUUUGUCUAAUGAAACCUGUCUGGUAAUAAGUGCUGUCAAAAUGUGAUACUUUUCUACGAAGAGCACCAACUUCCACAUUCGCCUUACCUAGAUGGUACAAAAUCUCACAAUCAUAGUCAUUUACUAACUGAAACCAUCUUUGCUAUCUCAUACUCAACUUCUUUUGAGUGAAGAAGUAUUUUAUACUCUUUUGGUUAGAAAAUAUCUAUAUCUUUUCAUCAUACAUAUAGUGCCUUCAAAUCAUUAAUGUAAAAACCACAACUGUCAAUUCCAUAUCAUAAGUUGGACAAUUUUCCUCAGUAGGAGUACAAGCAACUACUUUAACUUGUCGAAUAAGAAUACCUUUUAAACUUUCCUAAAAGCAUCACUAUAAAUUACGGAACAUUCUGAACCAUCAUGUACGGUAAGCACGGGAGUUGUACAAGCUUCUGCUUAAGAUCCUGAGCACUAUCCUCAUAGGCUUUGUCCCAAACAAACAGAGUCCCUUUUCUUAGUUAACUGAGUCAAAGGAGUAGCUAUACGAGAAAAUUCUUAUACAAACCGUCAGUAAUAACCUGCUGAACCCAAAAAGACUACGAACCUCACUGACUAUGAAAGGUUGAGGCCAACUGGUAACGACUUCAAUCUUUUAUGAGAUCCACAUAAAUGUCAUCUCUAGAUACCACAUGGCUUGGAAAGAUACUUGGCCUCAUCCAAAACUCACAUUUUGAAAACUUUGCAUACAAUUUGUUGACUCGAAGAGCCUCUAAAACCAUGUUAAAUGCUCCUCAUGCGCCGUCUCUAUUUUGGAAUAAAUUAAGAUAUCGUCAAUAAAUACAAUCACGAAAGUGUCUAAGAGAUCGUUAAACACUUUGUUCAUCAAGUCGUAAACAUUGUUUGAGCAUUUGCCAACUCAAAAGACAUCAUAAUGAACUCAUGAUGUCCAUAUCUUGAACGAAAAUCUGCCUUAGGAAUGUCACUGUUCUCUAAUCCUCAACAAGUCAUAACCUGAAUGUAAUUCAAUCUUAAAGAACACGAACUUAUUGCAGUUGAUCAAACAAAUCCUCAUUCAUUGGUAAAAGAUAUUUAUUCUUAACCGACACCUUAUUCAACUUUCUACAAUCAAAACAUAAGUGCAUCGACCCAUCUUUCUUCUUAAUAAACAAAACUUGGUGCACCCCAAGAUAACAUACUUCGUCGAAUGUAGUCCUUGUUAAACAUUUCUUUCAAUUGCACCUUCAAAUCUUUCAACUCUGUUGGGGCCAUUUUGUAUGAAGCUUUAGAUAUAGGAACGAGUCUAACUCUAUCUCAAUAGCAAGACCAAUUUCUGUUUAGCGCGGUAAUCUUAGAAACUCUUCUAGAAAAAUAUCAUAAUACUUUUUCACCACUGAUUCAAAUAACAAAGAAACAUUGACUUCUCUGGUGUCUACCACACUAGUCAAAUACAACAGGUACCCUGGUCAAGCAACUUACUAACCUUCAUAGCUGGGAUAACUUUUAGCGAAACGAUAGUUCCAACCUCUUUGUACUUGAAACUAGCCUCUGGAGAAGGAUUAGAAAUUACAUUUUCGCUGAACAUUUUAUGUUUACAUGGUUAAACUACAUUCCAAUUUUCAAACUCCAAACUAGUAACUUUUCAUUCACGAGAAACUCAAAAUUGUUUCUUAAAGUCACAUCAAGACAACCAUGCUCAUCUUCCUUGUUUCUUUUCCAAUACCUCCAUUCUAAAACCAUUUAAUGUGUUUCGUAUAAACUUGACCGUGUAUUUAGUCCUCGUUAAAACCACCUACAUAACUUAUUUUUCUUAGAUUUCCAAUCACAAAACAGACAAUUUCGCUAACAACGUCUUACUUUUCUACUACUCGACCACUCCUUUGAACACCUCUACAUGGCAACAUUUUUCCUAAGUUUCACCAUUAAAUCCUUCACCAUUAAAUCAUAACAUUCAUGUAAUUCUAGUUUAACUUAGGCAAGGUCAUAUACAUAAACCAUACAUAUAAGCAUAAAGCAUACCUGACGAGAGACGAAGGGUCGCGUUAGCCAUAGGGACACAAAAACAUAGACUUACAUCGUAAGUCAGUCUACAGAACCUAAAACUUAGGCUCUGAUACCAACUGUAACGACCCAACUUUUAUAGGUAAGUCGAGGUCAUUAAUUUUUAACAAAAGACUUUGGUUGAUACAAAAUGAAACGUAAGUCAAUUUAAAAACAAUUUAUGUCAUGCCUGAUUUUCAAAUAUUCAAGAAAACUUAAAAAUAACACUAUUUACAAAUAAAAGUUUGUAAACUAAGUUUUUAGUACAUCUUAAACUUCAAAAGAAACCAUAAGCGGAAGCAAAAUGACACAUUUCCUAUGGCAAUCACGCUUCCUCCUGCCCCUCGCCGGUUUGCCACCUUUAUUUCCUUUGCCUGAAAAUUAAACAUAAGAAGGGUGAGUAUAACAAUACUCAGUAAGAGACCCUCUACUGGUCUCGUCAGGGGAAAAUAAAUUGUUAAAGUUCUAUUGGGACACCCUGUACAGUCGCAGUCUUGUGAUCCCGUAGGAUACACAUCUCAGUCUAACGCCCCGAGGGACGUACAUAUCAGUCUAACGCCCCGAGGGACGUUCAUAUCAGUCUAGUGUUCCCGAAGGUGCAAAAUAAAUUGGUGAUCCCGUGGGACACCUACAAGGUAAACAUCCCAAUACAACCUAACAAUUUAUCCCCUCAUUCCAUUCAAUCCAUCUUUCAGUUACUUCAAAACAUAGAGUUCUUUCUCUCAACUUAUCUCACUUUAGUCAUAUGUCUGUGAAUAAUAUACUAAUACGUCAGUCAAUCAAACUAUACAGUCAAUACACCCUCAGAUCACCAGCACACAGUCAUACUAUAGCGUAACGUACACCCAAUCUAAACGACAAUCACAAGAUCGCAUCUGCAUCUCAUACAAGCACAAUCUACAAUUUUCGUCCUGUCCACAUCCACACACACAUAUAUAUAUUCCAUGACAAUCACAAUAUGCAUUCAACAUUAAGUCUACUUCAAUUCAUAUGCAUAUAUAUAUUUUCAGUCAAUCCACAAUAUACAUUCAACACCGAAUCUACAUCCAUACGUGUAUAUAUAUAUAUCAUCUCAUCAUCUUUACUCAGUCAGAGAUAAUCAUACAGACAUAUAAUUCACAAUCAUAAGUGAGUCCAGUAGAAAAUCCCUUACCUCAAAGUUAGGGAAGCUCCUUAAUCACUAACGUCCUCGAAACAAUCCUAAGCAUAACAACACAAAAUUCAAUUAC
RNAcentral lists this long non-coding RNA (20148 nucleotides) under Cucumis sativus (cucumber). Its description in RNAcentral is "long non-coding RNA (CSAT_LNC000245)". The record is from RNAcentral. Lineage: Eukaryota; Viridiplantae; Streptophyta; Magnoliopsida; Cucurbitales; Cucurbitaceae.